This 333-nucleotide ribosomal RNA is filed under the name uncultured eukaryote. RNAcentral's name for it is "partial 18S ribosomal RNA". It matches the Rfam family "Eukaryotic small subunit ribosomal RNA", at positions 1470 to 1796 of the family's 1831-position model. The record is from RNAcentral.
CCCUUAGAUGUUCUGGGCUGCACGCGCGCUACACUGAUACUUUCAGCGAGUCCACCACCUUGCCUGAGAGGGUGGGGUAACCUCUGGAAAGUGUAUCGUGAUGGGGAUCGAUUAUUGUAAUUAUUAAUCUUCAACGAGGAAUUCCUAGUAAGCAUGUGUCAUCAGCCCGUGCUGAUUACGUCCCUGCCCUUUGUACACACCGCCCGUCGCUCCUACCGAUUGAACGGUUUAGUGAGGGCCUCGGAUUGGUCUCGGCCCGCUCUUUACCGGGCGGCGCCGUUGGUCGAGAAGACGCUCGAACUUGAUCGUUUAGAGGAAGUAAAAGUCGUAACA